Molecule: long non-coding RNA, 1289 nt
Organism: Macadamia integrifolia
Lineage: Eukaryota; Viridiplantae; Streptophyta; Magnoliopsida; Proteales; Proteaceae
Exons: 7
Source: RefSeq, a predicted model, not a curated record
UAAUCCAACACUGCUCGAGUCGACUGAUUGUGAGUUCAAGUCUUAACAUGCCCCACUAUCGCCCAUUGGUCAUCCGGAAGCAUUGCUUACCGUAGGGGGUCUUGUUUUAGUUUUACCGCCCUAAGUAUUAGUCAAUAGGGGCGGUAUGUUUUAUCCGCCCUAAAUAGUGUCCGUCUUCCUCCUUCUCUUCUCCUUUUAUUUUUGUUUGCUUUUGAUUUCUGCUACUACUACUGUGUUUUACUCUGUUUCGAAUGGUUCUUCGACAACCCUGUUUUUUUGGAUGAAUUCUCUUUUCUAAGUCUGUCAGACAACCGUGCGACCACCACGAGGUUGGACCGUUGGAACCAACGAUGGGAACGAUCCUUACUGCUCGACGGGACCUAUACGAGUCUCAUCGGAGCUGUUAAUCAAGGAUAUAGAGGUACGAGCCUAUAGACUUAGGUUCCUUCAUCCCUCGACAACAUUGAAUCUUCAUCUAAGGGUGACUAAACCCUUGCACCUCGGCUCUAUUGAUGCACCUACGACAAUCGUCGUAUGAAACGUGGUCAGUCAAGGGGAUUGGCUACAACUUCUUUGCCGAGUGGCCAAAAGAUAAAACUUUGAUGGAGGAGGAGGAGGAGGAGGAUUCUUGAUCUCUUCCCCUAGCACCUAAGAGCUCUACUGGGAUUGACUAUUCUGGCAUCAUACCCUUUUUUUCUUUAUGGGUUGUGGUUGAUCCUUAUUCAUCAGUCUCAUCACAAAUAAAUGGGAGAGGGUGCUAUUAAUCUCAACUCAAAUUUUGCAUAUGACAAUACCCUAUGAGCCAUGAAUAAGGGAUGCACCUUCUUCUCUACCGUUUUGUAGUUUCAAUUAAGAAUCUGAACUGCGAUUGGUCCAGAGAACUGUUUCUGGAGAAGUUUGAGUUUGCUGAGCAUCACUUCUGAAAGGAUUUCCAAAUCAAUCUCACUCAUCUGUCAUCAUGUGUUAUCUAGGGACUGCUUCACAUGCUUUAAAGGUUAGGGAUGAACCGAAACACUUGCUGGAUGAUGAUGAAGAUAUGGCUGAGAUGUAUCUUACCAACAUGAUGAUGCAGUCACACUUUGAUGGAUCAUCUUCACUUUCCUUUCUAAAUGAUAUUCUUCAGUCAGAAAUGGAUGAUAGGAGCUUAAUGUUAUAUUGUUUGUGGAUUUUCUUGGUUAAGUUGCUUUGCUUUUUGGGUAUGUCAUCUGUGUUACAUUAUGAUCUUUGCAAUUACUCUUGAUUGAAGUUCUUAGUUAUCAUUGAAGGUAAGGAAGAUCUGCAGUCAUUCA